This 468-nucleotide ribosomal RNA is filed under the name uncultured bacterium. RNAcentral's name for it is "partial 16S ribosomal RNA". It matches the Rfam family "Bacterial small subunit ribosomal RNA", at positions 28 to 507 of the family's 1533-position model. The record is from RNAcentral.
GACGAACGCUGGCGGCGUGCUUAACACAUGCAAGUCGAACGGAAAGGCCCUGCUUUUGUGGGGUGCUCGAGUGGCGAACGGGUGAGUAACACGUGAGUAACCUGCCCUUGACUUUGGGAUAACUUCAGGAAACUGGGGCUAAUACCGGAUAGGAGCUCCUGCUGCAUGGUGGGGGUUGGAAAGUUUCGGCGGUUGGGGAUGGACUCGCGGCUUAUCAGCUUGUUGGUGGGGUAGUGGCUUACCAAGGCUUUGACGGGUAGCCGGCCUGAGAGGGUGACCGGCCACAUUGGGACUGAGAUACGGCCCAGACUCCUACGGGAGGCAGCAGUGGGGAAUAUUGCACAAUGGGCGGCAGCCUGAUGCAGCAACGCCGCGUGCGGGAUGACGGCCUGCGGGUUGUAGACCGCUUUCGCCUGUGACGAAGCGUGAGUGACGGUAAUGGGUAAAGAAGCACCGGCUAACUACGUG